UUGUUAGUUAAUAACUUAAUAUAUACAAUGUUACUAGCUGAUUGUAGAUGAUAUACAAAAUCUUAGUGUCUAAAUAAAUGAUAUAACUAAUGAUGAUACAUGUUAGUAGAUUUUAUCUAUAUAAUACAGACGUCUGGUUUAGAAUAUUUUUUCAUAUAUUUGUAAAAAUUUGCAAUUUAAAUGUGUGGUGUGGGACACUCUAUUACAAACCCACGUGAUGAACAUUACUCUACGAUAUCCUAGGUAUAUCAAACAAGAUUCUCACUUCAG
This 270-nucleotide long non-coding RNA is filed under the name Brassica napus (rape). Its description in RNAcentral is "long non-coding RNA (BNAP_LNC016935)". Lineage: Eukaryota; Viridiplantae; Streptophyta; Magnoliopsida; Brassicales; Brassicaceae. The record is from RNAcentral.